UACGGAGGGUGCGAGCGUUGUCCGGAAUCACUGGGCGUAAAGGGCGCGUAGGUGGCGCGGGCAGUCAACGGUGAAAGUUCGGGGCUCAACCCUGAAUCGGCCGUCGAUACUCCCGGGCUUGAGCACUGUAGAGGCAGAUGGAAUUCCGGGUGUAGCGGUGGAAUGCGUAGAGAUCCGGAAGAACACCGGUGGCGAAGGCGGUCUGCUGGGCAGUGGCUGACACUGAGGCGCGACAGCGUGGGGAGCGAACAGG
RNAcentral lists this ribosomal RNA (253 nucleotides) under uncultured bacterium. RNAcentral describes it as "partial 16S ribosomal RNA". It matches the Rfam family "Bacterial small subunit ribosomal RNA", at positions 524 to 776 of the family's 1533-position model. The record is from RNAcentral.